AGAGUUUGAUUAUGGCUCAGGAUGAACGCUGGCGGCGUGCUUAACACAUGCAAGUCGAACGCUGAAGCCCCAGCUUGCUGGGGUGGAUGAGUGGCGAACGGGUGAGUAACACGUGAGUAACCUUCCCUUGACUCUGGGAUAAGCCCGGGAAACUGGGUCUAAUACCGGAUACGACCUCCUGCCGCAUGGUGUGGGGGUGGAAAGAUUUAUCGGUUUUGGAUGGACUCGCGGCCUAUCAGCUUGUUGGUGAGGUAAUGGCUCACCAAGGCGACGACGGGUAGCCGGCCUGAGAGGGUGACCGGCCACACUGGGACUGAGACACGGCCCAGACUCCUACGGGAGGCAGCAGUGGGGAAUAUUGCACAAUGGGCGCAAGCCUGAUGCAGCGACGCCGCGUGAGGGAUGACGGCCUUCGGGUUGUAAACCUCCUUCAGUAGGGAAGAAGCGAAAGUGACGGUACCUGCAGAAGAAGCGCCGGCUAACUACGUGCCAGCAGCCGCGGUAAUACGUAGGGCGCGAGCGUUAUCCGGAAUUAUUGGGCGUAAAGAGCUCGUAGGCGGUUUGUCGCGUCUGCCGUGAAAGUCCGGGGCUUAACCCCGGAUCUGCGGUGGGUACGGGCAGACUAGAGUGCAGUAGGGGAGACUGGAAUUCCUGGUGUAGCGGUGAAAUGCGCAGAUAUCAGGAGGAACACCGAUGGCGAAGGCAGGUCUCUGGGCUGUUACUGACGCUGAGGAGCGAAAGCAUGGGGAGCGAACAGGAUUAGAUACCCUGGUAGUCCAUGCCGUAAACGUUGGGCACUAGGUGUGGGGGACAUUCCACGUUUUCCGCGCCGCAGCUAACGCAUUAAGUGCCCCGCCUGGGGAGU
RNAcentral lists this ribosomal RNA (865 nucleotides) under uncultured bacterium. RNAcentral's name for it is "bacterial SSU rRNA". It matches the Rfam family "Bacterial small subunit ribosomal RNA", at positions 8 to 881 of the family's 1533-position model. The record is from RNAcentral.